GACGAACGCUGGCGGCGUGCUUAACACAUGCAAGUCGAACGGUAAGGCCCUUCGGGGUACACGAGUGGCGAACGGGUGAGUAACACGUGGGUGAUCUGCCCUGCACUUCGGGAUAAGCCUGGGAAACUGGGUCUAAUACCGGAUAGGACCCUGGGAUGCAUGUCCUGGGGUGGAAAGCUUUUGCGGUGUGGGAUGGGCCCGCGGCCUAUCAGCUUGUUGGUGGGGUGAUGGCCUACCAAGGCGACGACGGGUAGCCGGCCUGAGAGGGUGACCGGCCACACUGGGACUGAGGUACGGCCCAGACUCCUACGGGAGGCAGCAGUGGGGAAUAUUGCACAAUGGGCGCAAGCCUGAUGCAGCGACGCCGCGUGAGGGAUGACGGCCUUCGGGUUGUAAACCUCUUUCAGCACCGACGAAGCGCAAGUGACGGUAGGUGCAGAAGAAGGACCGGCCAACUACGUGCCAGCAGCCGCAGUAA
RNAcentral lists this ribosomal RNA (478 nucleotides) under uncultured bacterium. RNAcentral describes it as "partial 16S ribosomal RNA". It matches the Rfam family "Bacterial small subunit ribosomal RNA", at positions 28 to 523 of the family's 1533-position model. The record is from RNAcentral.